CUCCCUCAAGCUCAUCUUCCAGCGCACUCCUCCCAUUCGUGGAGCUGUCUCCUGCUCCCGCUCAUGGCCGAGCGCCCGGCCAGGGCUCCUCUGCGGGCAGCUGUGUCUCCCUCUCCCUCUCUCUACUCUCUUCCCUGCUGCUUGCUGGUACUUGCCGCGUCGCUCCCUCUCUCUCUUCUUCAAGCCGCCGUCGACCCUGCCCUGGACGCCGGAGUCCCUCUGCCCGUUGCCAUGGCAGCCGUCAGGCCGAGCUCCACCCCUGCUCAUCUUCCCUAUGUCGCGCCCAGCGAGAGCUCCCAUCGCCGUGCCCCUGGCUGCUCUCUGUCAGCCGAGCGUGUGCCCAGCCGAACUCCUCCCUGCACGCGCUCGAAUUUCUUUCCUUCUCCACCGUGCGGCUCUGCUCGCCGUCGGGUCUCUGUAUCCAUGGCGCGGCUCUGCUGAAGCUCCUCUGCUCUUUUUUUUUUAACGCGCGCACGCAGUCCAUUCUUCUUCCCCGCCGUGGAGCCAUCCUUGCCGAGCACCGCUUGCCCAGCCAAGUCUCGCCCAGCUGCCCCUGGUGGCCGUCUUCUCUCCCAGCGCCUAGUCCCUACUCCCUGCGCCGCGGUCUCCUCCAAGCUCGCCGAGCUUCCUUGCGCUCGCGCGCAGCCGCUCCUCUGACCGAACGCCCUCGGCUCAGCUCCUCAGCUCUCCCUGCUCCUCCGAUUCGGUGCCGCGCGCAGUUCCCACGGUGCCCUGUGUCUCUCUCUGGUGUUUCCUCCCUGCGCGUGCGAAAUUUCCUUGCUGGCUGGCGCUUGGUCCAUGUUCCACUGUGCCAUACUGUUUCCCUGCGCGCGUUAAGUUUCCGUGCCGAGUUCGCCUGGGUCGCAAGCCUGUGUGUCCUCGCCAGCUCGCUUCAUGUUUAAUCUCGUCGUCGUCCCACGUGUCAUCAAGAAAUUCCAAGAGUCAAGUGAAGACGGAGCCAGCAACGUGAUAUUCAUCAGAUGCGCGACAAAAAGCUCGGACAUCCUGCGCGACUCAAGUUCAAUUCGUCAAAAUUAUUCAAUCGGGGAAAGAUCUUCAGCAAUUGAUUACCGAAGAAAAGAACCCUGGAUGACGUUAAUCGGAACCCGUAGUCGUGCUUGCGACUAUCGCGUCUAAUUAGUCAGGGUACGUUAAUUGAUCGCGCGAUGCGGAAGACGACCCAAGUCGACCCCAAGCGCGGGCUAAUCUGCAAGCUGAAGCUG
RNAcentral lists this unclassified non-coding RNA (1223 nucleotides) under Zea mays. RNAcentral's name for it is "misc RNA Zm00001eb338490". The record is from RNAcentral. Lineage: Eukaryota; Viridiplantae; Streptophyta; Magnoliopsida; Poales; Poaceae.